Lutra lutra (Eurasian river otter) is the source of this 1725-nucleotide long non-coding RNA. RefSeq lists it as uncharacterized. The record is from RefSeq and is a predicted model, not a curated record. The transcript is spliced from 3 exons. NCBI's taxonomy places the organism in Eukaryota, Metazoa, Chordata, Mammalia, Carnivora, Mustelidae.
GAGAAGAGCGGAGGGAGGGCCAGAGGGAGCCACGCCCACCGCGCCGAGGUCUGUGCGUGCUCCCGGCGCGGACCGGCGGCCGGGGCUGUCCACGGCGCUCUGUCCGCCUCAGCACGUCAGGAGUUAGGUAGGCUGAGUGCACCCGUCCAGGGGAGGCGUGGCAAGUCGCUCUUCCUUUGAAAGGAAAGUGUGUGUUGGGCCUUGGUAUCCGUUCAGUGUGAGAUGAUGCCAGGGUCAUUCUGGCUGUUGGGACGGCCACAAAUGUCUCAAGAGGCCAAAUACCCCCUUUGCGGGAAGGUCAUCCAGGUUGGAGCCGCUGUGAAGGAGACAAUCUGGGUUUUGGGGAAGUGACCCUUUUCAAAAGCCGGAAGCAAUGAAGUCUUGCCUACAUGAACGAUUUGUGGACGGGCUUGCCCGCUCAGAACUCUCGGUCCAGCUCCAGCUGCUCCAGUCGGGCGUCGGAGUCGCAGCCAGCCCCCGAACCCGAAAGAAGGCAGCGGUUGAAGGAGGAGAUCCAGGAAGAGAUCGCAGAGCAGAACCCCGUUUUGCUUAAGUUAAAGGUUGCAUGGGUCAUUUGUCGUGAAGAGGGACGCAAGGUUCACCUUUUUUGCAUAUGAGGCUACAGUAUUUGAGUAAGCUAGGAACCAAGAUUAUGUCGUUUAAUUUCUUUGAUUUCCUUUGAUGCGUAACAUCUGUAGCUUUGUGCUUUUGAAGGGGGGGCAUUAGCUGAUUAGUAGGCAAAACUGGACAAUGCAAUCCAUAUAGCCUAUUUUUAAGUGGACAUCGUUCUUACCCCUCAGGGUUAAAGAUUAUGACUGUUAAAGGGCUCGGGGUGGGGGGGGGUAAUAUACUGCAGGCAGUUUGUAGAACCUUUUUAAUACUUUUUAACGACUUAAGGUUCGCUUAGCAGCUCUGAGCAGCCUAUAACAAAUCUUGCCUUUGGCUUUUUUUUUUUUUUUUUUAAGAUUUUAUUUGUUUAUUUGACAGAGGGAGAGAGUGAGAGAAGGAACACAAGCAGGGCGAACAGAAAAAAGAGAAGCAGGACCCUGGAAUCAUGACAUGAGCCGAAGGCAGAUGCUUAAGGUCUGAGCCACCCAGGUGCCCCUUGCCUUCAGCUUUUAGGUCAACUAAUGAUUAGGAGGAAAGAACGAUAACUUAUUUGGAAUCCAAUUUAAAUUUCCCAAUUGAAAUAUGUCUGUGUUUGAAAACCACUUUCCCUGAGGAAGAGAGGUUGAACUUAACAGUGACAUCCAGUGUGUUUCCAUUUGAGACACAGAUAACCUCUCUGAUGAAUUUAUAGAUGCAAAGGACCUGAUUCACAAACAGCUCGUCUACCAAAAGAAGCCUAUAGACAAAAAAUGGAUGGACAUUUUUGGAGAGCUGGAAACAAAUUCCUACAAAUCUAAAAGCCUGCUAUUGCUCGUAAGUAAAAAUCCAAAGUAUUCUAUGCUCGAAUGUUUGUGCUGAGAGGCUGUUUGAGUUGAUGUUAUUGCAUUGGACUGACACCAGCAAUCGAUGUAAUGUGGGCUUGGUAAGAGCACAGCUGCAAGUCAAAGAGAACUUUAUAUUUGACUGGAUUCAGUUUUACUGCUACAUGAAAGAAAAGAAGGAUGUCCUAAAGGCUGCAAGCAGUUCACAGUAGUAUUAUUGGAAAAGAAAACAGAAAGUAAAAAUAUCCUGGAUUAUAAGACAGAAAGAAACAUGCCAUUGUCAUUUUAAAUAAAU